CCAGACUCCUACGGGAGGCAGCAGUGGGGAAUAUUGCACAAUGGGGGGAACCCUGAUGCAGCGACGCCGCGUGGGUGAAGGAGUAUUUCGGUAUGUAAAGCCCUAUCAGCAGGGAAGAACAAUGACGGUACCUGACUAAGAAGCACCGGCUAAAUACGUGCCAGCAGCCGCGGUAAUACGUAUGGUGCAAGCGUUAUCCGGAUUUACUGGGUGUAAAGGGAGCGUAGACGGCAUGGCAAGUCAGAUGUGAAAGCCCGGGGCUCAACCCCGGGACUGCAUUUGAAACUGUCAGGCUGGAGUGCAGGAGGGGCGGGCGGAAUUCCUGGUGUAGCGGUGAAAUGCGUAGAUAUCAGGAGGAACACCGGUGGCGAAGGCGGCCUGCUGGACUGCGACUGACGUUGAGGCCCGAAAGCGUGGGGAGCAAACAGGAUUAGAUACCCCCGUAAG
This 447-nucleotide ribosomal RNA is filed under the name uncultured bacterium. Its description in RNAcentral is "bacterial SSU rRNA". It matches the Rfam family "Bacterial small subunit ribosomal RNA", at positions 331 to 793 of the family's 1533-position model. The record is from RNAcentral.